UUUUGAUAAAGUGAAAUAAGACACCAAAGCUGAACCU
Molecule: unclassified non-coding RNA, 37 nt
Filed under: Saccharolobus solfataricus
Lineage: Archaea; Thermoproteati; Thermoproteota; Thermoprotei; Sulfolobales; Sulfolobaceae
Source: RNAcentral